Molecule: ribosomal RNA, 429 nt
Filed under: Bacillota bacterium
Lineage: Bacteria; Bacillati; Bacillota
Description: Firmicutes bacterium partial 16S ribosomal RNA
Rfam family: Bacterial small subunit ribosomal RNA
Source: RNAcentral
UAGGGAAUCUUCGGCAAUGGACGGAAGUCUGACCGAGCAACGCCGCGUGAGUGAAGAAGGUUUUCGGAUCGUAAAGCUCUGUUGUUAGAGAAGAACGUUGGUAGGAGCGGAAAAUCUACCAAGUGACGGUAACUAACCAGAAAGGGACGGCUAACUACGUGCCAGCAGCCGCGGUAAUACGUAGGUCCCGAGCGUUGUACGGAUUUAUUGGGCGUAAAGCGAGCGCAGGCGGUUCUUUAAGUCUGAAGUUAAAGGCAGUGGCUUAACCAUUGUACGCUUGGGAAACUGGAGGACUUGAGUGCAGAAGGGGAGAGUGGAAUUCCAUGUGGAGCGGUGAAAUGCGUAGAUAUAUGGAGGAACACCGGUGGCGAAAGCGGCUCUCUGGUCUGUAACUGACGCUGAGGCUCGAAAGCGUGGGGAGCAAACAGG